RNAcentral lists this ribosomal RNA (1554 nucleotides) under Klebsiella aerogenes. Its description in RNAcentral is "16S ribosomal RNA". It matches the Rfam family "Bacterial small subunit ribosomal RNA". The record is from RNAcentral. Lineage: Bacteria; Pseudomonadati; Pseudomonadota; Gammaproteobacteria; Enterobacterales; Enterobacteriaceae.
ACUUAAAUUGAAGAGUUUGAUCAUGGCUCAGAUUGAACGCUGGCGGCAGGCCUAACACAUGCAAGUCGAGCGGUAGCACAGAGAGCUUGCUCUCGGGUGACGAGCGGCGGACGGGUGAGUAAUGUCUGGGAAACUGCCUGAUGGAGGGGGAUAACUACUGGAAACGGUAGCUAAUACCGCAUAACGUCGCAAGACCAAAGUGGGGGACCUUCGGGCCUCAUGCCAUCAGAUGUGCCCAGAUGGGAUUAGCUAGUAGGUGGGGUAAUGGCUCACCUAGGCGACGAUCCCUAGCUGGUCUGAGAGGAUGACCAGCCACACUGGAACUGAGACACGGUCCAGACUCCUACGGGAGGCAGCAGUGGGGAAUAUUGCACAAUGGGCGCAAGCCUGAUGCAGCCAUGCCGCGUGUAUGAAGAAGGCCUUCGGGUUGUAAAGUACUUUCAGCGAGGAGGAAGGCAUUAAGGUUAAUAACCUUGGUGAUUGACGUUACUCGCAGAAGAAGCACCGGCUAACUCCGUGCCAGCAGCCGCGGUAAUACGGAGGGUGCAAGCGUUAAUCGGAAUUACUGGGCGUAAAGCGCACGCAGGCGGUCUGUCAAGUCGGAUGUGAAAUCCCCGGGCUCAACCUGGGAACUGCAUUCGAAACUGGCAGGCUAGAGUCUUGUAGAGGGGGGUAGAAUUCCAGGUGUAGCGGUGAAAUGCGUAGAGAUCUGGAGGAAUACCGGUGGCGAAGGCGGCCCCCUGGACAAAGACUGACGCUCAGGUGCGAAAGCGUGGGGAGCAAACAGGAUUAGAUACCCUGGUAGUCCACGCCGUAAACGAUGUCGACUUGGAGGUUGUGCCCUUGAGGCGUGGCUUCCGGAGCUAACGCGUUAAGUCGACCGCCUGGGGAGUACGGCCGCAAGGUUAAAACUCAAAUGAAUUGACGGGGGCCCGCACAAGCGGUGGAGCAUGUGGUUUAAUUCGAUGCAACGCGAAGAACCUUACCUACUCUUGACAUCCAGAGAACUUAGCAGAGAUGCUUUGGUGCCUUCGGGAACUCUGAGACAGGUGCUGCAUGGCUGUCGUCAGCUCGUGUUGUGAAAUGUUGGGUUAAGUCCCGCAACGAGCGCAACCCUUAUCCUUUGUUGCCAGCGGUUAGGCCGGGAACUCAAAGGAGACUGCCAGUGAUAAACUGGAGGAAGGUGGGGAUGACGUCAAGUCAUCAUGGCCCUUACGAGUAGGGCUACACACGUGCUACAAUGGCAUAUACAAAGAGAAGCGACCUCGCGAGAGCAAGCGGACCUCAUAAAGUAUGUCGUAGUCCGGAUUGGAGUCUGCAACUCGACUCCAUGAAGUCGGAAUCGCUAGUAAUCGUAGAUCAGAAUGCUACGGUGAAUACGUUCCCGGGCCUUGUACACACCGCCCGUCACACCAUGGGAGUGGGUUGCAAAAGAAGUAGGUAGCUUAACCUUCGGGAGGGCGCUUACCACUUUGUGAUUCAUGACUGGGGUGAAGUCGUAACAAGGUAACCGUAGGGGAACCUGCGGUUGGAUCACCUCCUUACCUUAAAGAA